CAGCCGCCGCGGUAAUACAGAGGGUGCGAGCGUUAAUCGGAUUUACUGGGCGUAAAGCGUGCGUAGGCGGCUUUUUAAGUCGGAUGUGAAAUCCCUGAGCUUAACUUAGGAAUUGCAUUCGAUACUGGGAAGCUAGAGUAUGGGAGAGGAUGGUAGAAUUCCAGGUGUAGCGGUGAAAUGCGUAGAGAUCUGGAGGAAUACCGAUGGCGAAGGCAGCCAUCUGGCCUAAUACUGACGCUGAGGUACGAAAGCAUGGGGAGCAAACAGGAUUAGAUACCCCGGUAGUCCCUGUCUCUUAUAC
This 301-nucleotide ribosomal RNA is filed under the name uncultured bacterium. RNAcentral describes it as "partial 16S ribosomal RNA". It matches the Rfam family "Bacterial small subunit ribosomal RNA", at positions 509 to 807 of the family's 1533-position model. The record is from RNAcentral.